This 70-nucleotide transfer RNA is filed under the name Biomphalaria glabrata. It matches the Rfam family "tRNA". From Rfam's summary of the family: Transfer RNA (tRNA) molecules are approximately 80 nucleotides in length. Lineage: Eukaryota; Metazoa; Mollusca; Gastropoda; Planorbidae. The record is from Rfam by way of RNAcentral.
GGCCGGAUCGUUAAGUUAGAGCGUCGUGCUGACAACUCGAAUAACGUGGGUUCGAUCUCCAUACUGGCCC